UAGGGAAUCUUCCACAAUGGACGCAAGUCUGAUGGAGCAACGCCGCGUGAGUGAAGAAGGCUUUCGGGUCGUAAAACUCUGUUAUUGAAGAAGAACGUGUGUGACAGUAACUGGUCAUGCAGUGACGGUAUUCAAUCAGAAAGUCACGGCUAACUACGUGCCAGCAGCCGCGGUAAUACGUAGGUGGCAAGCGUUGUCCGGAUUUAUUGGGCGUAAAGCGAGUGCAGGCGGUCUUUUAAGUCUGAUGUGAAAGCCUUCGGCUUAACCGAAGAAGGGCAUCGGAAACUGGGAGACUUGAGUGCAGAAGAGGAGAGUGGAACUCCAUGUGUAGCGGUGAAAUGCGUAGAUAUAUGGAAGAACACCAGUGGCGAAGGCGGUUCUCUGGUCUGUAACUGACGCUGAGGCUCGAAAGCGUGGGUAGCAAACAGGAUUAGAUACCCUGGUAGCCCACGCCGUAAACGAUGAAUACUAAGUGUUGGAGGGUUUCCGCCCUUCAGUGCUGCAGCUAACGCAUUAAGUAUUCCGCCUGGGGAGUACGACCGCAAGGUUGAAAC
This 554-nucleotide ribosomal RNA is filed under the name uncultured bacterium. Its description in RNAcentral is "partial 16S ribosomal RNA". It matches the Rfam family "Bacterial small subunit ribosomal RNA", at positions 355 to 900 of the family's 1533-position model. The record is from RNAcentral.